RNAcentral lists this transfer RNA (85 nucleotides) under Felis catus (domestic cat). It matches the Rfam family "tRNA". From Rfam's summary of the family: Transfer RNA (tRNA) molecules are approximately 80 nucleotides in length. The record is from Rfam by way of RNAcentral. Lineage: Eukaryota; Metazoa; Chordata; Mammalia; Carnivora; Felidae.
GCCUGGGUGGCUCAGUCGGUUAAGCGUCCGACUUCAGCUCAGGUCACGAUCUCGCGGUCCGUGAGUUCGAGCCCCACCUCAGGCU